ACUCUCGCGUUGUGUUGGGGUGCGCAUGAGGGUUUCAUCGCAUCAUCGCGUGAUUUCAUAGCGCACAAACGAUCCUCCGCACCUUUCGCCACAUGACAAUUCGGCGUUCGGCAUUCCAGUAGGACAAGUCAUUAUGAGGGGAGAGCACAAAACAGCAGCAGGCCCGGCAGAUGUAAGAAAGGAGCGCUGAGAUCACUGCAAAAGAAAAAAAAAAUCAGUCGAAAAGUGAAAAGUGAAGGCAUACAUAGCGCAGCACAUGGCAACAAUAAUAAAGCUGGGAGGGAAAUCAGCUCAACAAGCUAUGCUUAAUUGAGCACUUAGGCUAAGUAGUGAAGGGGCACAAAGAGAGUGACCCUGUUAGAAAAUUCAAGUUUGCAGUUGUGAGAAUGGAGAACAGUGCGCGUGCGUGCGUGCGUCUGAAUUGUGUAUUCGUGCAAAGUAAAUGACCGCAUGUGUGUCCGUGCUGCCACGAAAUGCUCAAAAGUGUGCGUUUAUUCGUUUGUUUGUGCGCGUGUGUGCAUCCGAGUGGGAAACUAGUGCCGGGAAAUUGGCUAUAAUUUGCUCGUGUGGACAUGCGUGCACAUGCAUCAGAGGAAAUAGAUAUAUUUAAGCGAGUGUGUGUGCGUGUCGAUUAUGUUUUUUUGUAUAUUUUUGUGCCUUCAAAGUCGUAAUUAAGUCACAGUAGGAACAAGGUCUUCCUUUGGAGAGCUGCUGCCUGUCACCCCUCCAUCCCUGAUAGGAUGCUGUAGGAAUAAUAGCAAUAAAACUGAACUUUUCUUUUCUUUUUUCCAAAUUUCAGCUUCAAGCCACAGCAUGCCCUCUGUUUAUCCUCUACCACCUUGUUCCUCAUGAACAUUGACGUGUGUUGAAAAGUCUUGAAUUGGGCAUUUAACCUCCUGCCCUGGAACUCCUAGCCACAGUUGGUAGCAGGUCAGACCUAGAGGGAACCACUGGAUGGAUUCCUAAUGCUGAUUUUUCAGCCUCACUGGCUUUUGGAUCUCUUGUUUAAUAGCUUUUGUUUUGUUACAGGAAAUUUUCAGGGUGGGAAAAAACCAAAAAACCAAAAGAAAAAAAGAAUCAAGGCCACAGCAAACGUCGUGUUAUUUCAACUGAAUCUGAUACAAGAGUUCAGAUACAGUAAUUACAAACCCGCCGUGCUCCUGCUGUAAGCACUGAAAUAUAAAUAAACAUAAUAAGUACUGUCAAAAAAACAAAAAAACAAAAACCGGACAAACUAAAAACCCCUGAAUUACAUGGCUAACUGUGUGUGUGUGUGUGCAUUGUCUGCCCUGUGAUUCUCUGGAUGAGCUGGAAAUUUACAACACAGGUUUUUGUUUUUUUCUUACAGUAAGCCCCAGCCAAAAACUGUAAUUCUUUCUUCUCUUUUUUAGCUCCGCACUUGUGGAGACAGACUUGCCCACUUUGGGUUAACUCUAUCAAGAUGAACAGCAUUUGGGCCAGCGGAGUAAUCAUAAUGUAAUUUGUUGUGCUCACGGGCCAAUUUGUGUCUUUUCAGAGGAUCCAUCCAGUCCCGUGCCUGGUGGCCAUGCGAGCCCUGGGGCAAGGCUUUAAUUAGAGAAGCUCAAAUUUAUGGACACUUUGUAUUAUUUCUGAUCCUGAGCGGUUGGAGGAUGACAUACUUAUGAGGAAAAAGGCAUGGCUGGCAGAGGACGGAGGAAAAAUUUGAUAAUGAGAAACAAAACUGAAUGAAAGGUCACGUUAGGAAUUUGUUUACCAUUUCAUUAUCAUUUUUCAAAAUCAAAGAGUGGGAAUCAAAGCAGGCACAAAUGCCACAGUCUGGAAAGAGUUUAUGAAGAGCAGUGAGAGGUAUGCACCAGUUCUCUUCAAUUUGUUUGAAGCAAAAGCGAUGCAGUGGAGGUUUUAAAGGAGCACUGUGUUAAGUGUGUUAAUGUUCAUCUGCUGGUGAGGCCCUGAGGUUGAAGAGUUGGGCUUUAAAUUGAUCUGGUUUUGAUUUCUGACAUAAAUUUAAAAGAGAGAGAGAGAGAGAGAGAGAGAGACAGUAAAACAUCUGUGAGGAGAGAAGAAGAAAAGAAAUCUGGGCUUUUCAAAUUUUGGCAUUAAUUUGCUGCACAGCUAUUUAACGAGGAUUAAAAUGUUUUGCCUUCAGAGGAGAAUCUGAUCCAGAUAUUUCAGGAAUAUAAUGACUCAGAUAGAGUGACUAGAGGGCAGAAGAGAGCCAUCCUGGUGCUUUUUAAUCCACCUUCUGUGAGUCAAAGCGUCUCCCUGGUGGAUUUUUUUUUUAAGGUAAUAUGAAGAUGGAUAACUUUGCUGAUACCUUCACGUGUAUGUGCAAAUAAUUCCACUUAACCAAGACAUGCAACCCUUAAAAUAUGACAUUAUCCCCUCACAUCUGUGUCCACUUUGCUGCAGGUAUAAUUGGAAAUGUUAAUAUCACCAGCACAAGUAGCUCACAAAGCAGACAUUCGCUCUGAGAGGCCUCCAGGCUUCCAUUCAGCACACCCUUGACUCUUGAAAUAGCUUCACCCCACGCUGAGGAUCCAAAAUCGUGACUCAGAUGCGACACAGAGCGUAUUUUCUAUGGCCUGUGCGAGUUUUAAAACAAGAGGAGUCCACACCAGGAUGCGUUUGAAGCCGAUCCAGGACUGUGAAAGCUGUGGACGGAGACAAGGUUAAGCUAUCAGCUGGGCAGCUCUGUAAUCAGAGGCUCUGACAGAUGCUUUCUCGAUAAGAAUCCCCCCAGAAGCUCUUGGAGGAACACACAGGCGGACAGCUGUUUCUAUAGCGAGGCACUGAUGUCUUCAAAAGGAGAAUCCAACAAUAACUGUAGAGACAGAGCACAAGUCCUCCUCCAGUCUGGGAAAGCAGGUUUGCACGUGGAAUUAGUCACCAAGUCUCCCCCCUCCAGUCUUCGCCUGUACCGCACAAGAAGAAAUCUUCUGAGAGCUCCAUUGGUGUUCUGGUCUUUUCCUGAAUUGCGGUACUCUCGGGUGUGUUUCAUAAUGGUACUUGGAGCGUUGCAGGCCUGAUAUAUCGUACCCAAGGGAGAAGCUGCACUCUGCACCAAUCUAUCAGCCCCUGAGUCUGAGGAAGGCAGAAUGACACCGCGAUUAUAACCCCCAUCAUAUUCAGAACUGACUUUAAAUUGAGGCUUUUUUUUCUUCCACCCGUUGAGGGAGACUUCUUGACUGAUCAUACGCAGGCAUCUGUGGUUUUGCAGCUUUUGUUUUUAUUGUGAUUACUUGAGGAAAUGUUGUGUUAGUAAAAUAUUUUCUGCAGGGUUAUUUCAUUGUAGUCCCUCGCUCGUUCUGUGCGCUGCUGUAUAAACAGCAGAAUGUAAGUAGAUCUGUUAUUAGUCCACCAGUUGUCAGUUUGCUUUAUUUGAAUAGUCCAUUGAUAUUUACAUCACCCAAACCUUCACAUUUAAUACAUUUAUUGUUCUAACUGUAAUAAUGAUUGUAAAAAUAUUGCCCAUACUAAUUUUUUUGCAAACUUUACUCGAUACAAUAACACCAUGGCUCUUGGCUUUUUCUUUAAGUGGAAGGGAGACAAGGUAAUUACCCUUGGGGCAAUUAGAGAAAGGGGCUGAGGGAGUAGCAAAGUCAUUUUCUAACCCAAACAUCCUGGUCCGAGGGGCCGGAGUGGCUGGACAGCCUCCUGGAGGCCGCUGGCUGGGCUCGCUGGGAGCCGUUCGCGGGGAAGCAGAUCAGGGUUUGUUUUCUUUCUCUGGAGGCAGGCCUCUGAAACUCCUGCCAGAUGAAGUGCACCUGAAACGCAGCAGCUCUCCCAGCACCGUCAGCAGAGGGAGUGAUUUACUGUACGCGGCCAGGCGUGCCUGCCUGCAUGAAAUCCUUUAGUCAGCUCCAGCACGUCGUGGGGAUCAGGGAGGGAGCAGGUCGCUGGUUUUCUCUGCAGCUUCUUGAGGGAGGCUUGAAAAUGUUUGUGCGGAUCUAUAAACACGCUCAGCCCACAUAAUGUUGUCUGCUUAUUGCACUAUGCAAUAUGCUGGCAGUAUGCAGAGAAAACAAAUAAGCCUGCUGAGGAACUGAGGGAAUGUGAGAAGCAAAUCCUGUGGGUUGAAUCUUUAAUCUGAACUGCAACUCAUCAUUCAUUCAUUCAUUUUGGCUUUUGCAAUCAGAGUUUCCAUUCAAUGCAUUUUUUCUACCGUGUUAUUGACAUCCCUGUCUCUUACUCAACAAGAAGAAAACAAAUCUAUUAAAAAAAACAAUAAUUUUGAUUAUUUGGCUUUACAAGAAGAACAUGAAGUCACAUAAAAUUAUAAAAAUUGGAUAAGAUUGACACAUUUAGUCCAACACUUACUUCAGGUUUGGUUUUGAUAUCCUAGUCCUGCUUUCAUGGUGACAUUAUAUGUUUAAAUGCUUAAAAUACAAAUACAUGGAUUAUUAUUUUUUAAAGUAACAUGACAAACCUUUUAUCUAAAGGUCGAAUAAAUGUUAGCUUGGUCGAUUUCUGAGUCCAAUAUUCAAUAUUUUUCUGAUUAUAGGUGUCAUUAUUCUGAGUAAAUUACUAUAAAAAUG
Long non-coding RNA from Acanthochromis polyacanthus (spiny chromis), 4517 nucleotides. RefSeq lists it as uncharacterized. The record is from RefSeq and is a predicted model, not a curated record. The transcript has 2 exons. NCBI's taxonomy places the organism in Eukaryota, Metazoa, Chordata, Actinopteri, Pomacentridae.